This 468-nucleotide ribosomal RNA is filed under the name uncultured bacterium. RNAcentral's name for it is "partial 16S ribosomal RNA". It matches the Rfam family "Bacterial small subunit ribosomal RNA", at positions 28 to 507 of the family's 1533-position model. The record is from RNAcentral.
GACGAACGCUGGCGGCGUGCUUAACACAUGCAAGUCGAACGGAAAGGCCCUGCUCUUGCGGGGUGCUCGAGUGGCGAACGGGUGAGUAACACGCGAGUAACCUGCCCUUGACUUUGGGAUAACUUCAGGAAACUGGGGCUAAUAUCGGAUAGGAGCUCCUGCUGCAUGGUGGGGGUUGGAAAGUUUCGGCGGUUGGGGAUGGUCUCGCGGCUUAUCCGCUUGUUGGUGUGGUAGUGGCUUACCAAGGCUUUGACGGGUAGCCGGCCUGAGAGGGUGAACGGCCACAUUGGGACUGAGGUACGGCCCAGAAGCCUACGGGAGGCAGCAGUGGGGAAUAUUGCACAAUGGGCGGAAGCCUGAUGCAGCAGCGCCGCGUGCGGGAUGACGGCCUUCGGGUUGUAAACCGCUUUCGCCUGUGACGAAGCGUGAGUGACGGUAAUGGGUAAAGAAGCACCGGCUAACUACGUG